RNAcentral lists this ribosomal RNA (481 nucleotides) under uncultured bacterium. RNAcentral describes it as "partial 16S ribosomal RNA". It matches the Rfam family "Bacterial small subunit ribosomal RNA", at positions 28 to 507 of the family's 1533-position model. The record is from RNAcentral.
GAUGAACGCUGGCGGCGUGCUUAACACAUGCAAGUCGAACGAAGCACUUUAUUUGAUUUCCUUCGGGACUGAUUAUUUUGUGACUGAGUGGCGGACGGGUGAGUAACGCGUGGGUAACCUGCCUUGUACAGGGGGAUAACAGUUGGAAACGGCUGCUAAUACCGCAUAAGCGCACAGCAUCGCAUGAUGCAGUGUGAAAAACUCCGGUGGUAUAAGAUGGACCCGCGUUGGAUUAGCUAGUUGGUGAGGUAGCGGCCCACCAAGGCGACGAUCCAUAGCCGACCUGAGAGGGUGACCGGCCACAUUGGGACUGAGACACGGCCCAAACUCCUACGGGAGGCAGCAGUGGGGAAUAUUGCACAAUGGGCGAAAGCCUGAUGCAGCGACGCCGCGUGAGCGAAGAAGUAUUUCGGUAUGUAAAGCUCUAUCAGCAGGGAAGAUAAUGACGGUACCUGACGAAGAAGCACCGGCUAAAUACGUG